UGAGUAACACGUAUGCAACCUGCCUGCCACAGCCGGAUAAUCGGGGGAAAUUCCGUCUAAUACGGCAUAAUGCAUCGACGGGACAUCCUGUUGGUGCCAAAGGUUAAUUCCGGUGGCGGAUGGGCAUGCGUCGCAUUAGUUAGUUGGCGGUGUAACGGACCACCAAGACGACGAUGCGUAGGGGUUCUGAGAGGAAGGCCCCCACACUGGUACUGAGACACGGACCAGACUCCUACGGAAGGCAGCAG
This 248-nucleotide ribosomal RNA is filed under the name uncultured bacterium. RNAcentral's name for it is "partial 16S ribosomal RNA". It matches the Rfam family "Bacterial small subunit ribosomal RNA", at positions 107 to 354 of the family's 1533-position model. The record is from RNAcentral.